CCGCGGCAAGAGAGGGAGAGGAGAGAGAAAACGUGCGCACAGUGGACAGCGGUUUUCCGGUGCGAUUCCGGCUUCAUCCGACGUCCGAUCGAGGCGAUUCCGGUGGCGUUGGAAAGCUUGUUCCGAGAGCUUUCUUUUGAUACCAAUUUUGAAGCAAAUGGAGGUCGGAUGAGUGAGAUAUGGAGGAGAGAAGUUUCGGGUUUUUCAAGCUUUUUUGUCAGAUCUACGACGAUCCGACCGUUGGAUCGUCGAUCCGAGACCACAUAUGGACUGAGGAAGAGGAGAGGAACAUGGUGGUAUGAUCAGACCCGGCAAAUUUCGUCGGCGACCGGCGGCCGGCCACCGUGCGCGGUGGUGCCGGCGGUGACUCCAGUGAGCUAUGGAGAUGGUUCAACUUCCAGAGGCUUCCUCAUAAAUUUUCGGAAUUUUUGAGACACAGAUAAACUUCAGGCUACAGGAGGAGACAUUUUUCAGAAUAACCUGUCCCUUUCCUCUCAGGUUAUGAAAAAGAUUACUUAAUUGUAUUAUUAUUCUCUAAAUUUGUAAUUUAGGACUCCGCAUGUGCUAGUAGUAGCAUUAAGCCUAUCAGAGACUGUAUGAAUUCAAGUUUUCAUAUUAAUAAAUGAAAAGAAAAAAAUUUUUA
Molecule: long non-coding RNA, 643 nt
Organism: Hevea brasiliensis (rubber tree)
Lineage: Eukaryota; Viridiplantae; Streptophyta; Magnoliopsida; Malpighiales; Euphorbiaceae
Exons: 2
Source: RefSeq, a predicted model, not a curated record